UAUUCUUGCUAGCUAGCUAGUACUAUUUCUCUAAAUUUCUUGUGUAAUUCUUCCCAACUCUCUCUCAAUCUGCUACAACUUGUUGCUUCAAUUCCUUGUAGCUAGCAACUAACUGGGACUAAUAAUCGAUCUUACUAAUAAUUGAGGGGUAUGGUAGGAAAGGAAUAAUUGAGAGGUAUGGUAGGAAAGGAAGGGCAGAGAGUGAGUGAGGAGUGAGCUCGCUAGCUACCAACAACAAUAAGCUAGGUAGGAGGAGGAGAAGAAGAUGGACAAGUAAGUGGAGAAGAAGAAGAAAGAAGAUGGACAAG
This 308-nucleotide long non-coding RNA is filed under the name Oryza sativa (Asian cultivated rice). RNAcentral's name for it is "long non-coding RNA (OSAT_LNC001433)". Lineage: Eukaryota; Viridiplantae; Streptophyta; Magnoliopsida; Poales; Poaceae. The record is from RNAcentral.